AUGAUAGGCUUCAUACAACUUGAUCAAAUGCUGCCAUGCCUGAGAAGUAGUCAUGUUAAGAGGAUGACAACGUACUUUGGGGGACUAACGAUUGUUCAGGGCGAGACUAUGGACAAAGAAAAUAAAAAUGUAAAAGGCAGAGAGAAUGAAAGAAGGUAUAUGCUUUGGUAGUGUAACUGAAAGAGUCCUGGAAUUGGAAAACAAAAUCCGGAAGUUGAGUUCCAUGGCUUUUUUGUUGUUUGUCUUUGGGUAAGUCUAUGAUAUCCAGUUUCUGCAUUGCUCAAUUUUGUUGUAAAGACUAAAUAAAGUAGUACACAUGUACACAUGUACAGCUAGACUGUAAAUCAC
Molecule: long non-coding RNA, 348 nt
Filed under: Rhinopithecus bieti (black snub-nosed monkey)
Lineage: Eukaryota; Metazoa; Chordata; Mammalia; Primates; Cercopithecidae
Description: lncRNA (ENSRBIG00000045292.1)
Source: RNAcentral